This 472-nucleotide ribosomal RNA is filed under the name uncultured bacterium. RNAcentral describes it as "bacterial SSU rRNA". It matches the Rfam family "Bacterial small subunit ribosomal RNA", at positions 355 to 825 of the family's 1533-position model. The record is from RNAcentral.
UGGGGAAUUUUGGACAAUGGGCGCAAGCCUGAUCCAGCCAUGCCGCGUGAGUGAAGAAGGCCUUCGGGUUGUAAAGCUCUUUCGGCGGGGACGAAACGGUCCGUGACAACACCACGGACUAAUGACAGUACUCGCAGAAGAAGCACCGGCUAACUACGUGCCAGCAGCCGCGGUAAUACGUAGGGUGCAGGCGUUAAUCGGAAUUACUGGGCGUAAAGCGUGCGCAGGCGGCUCCUUAAGUCAGAUGUGAAAUCCCCGGGCUUAACCUGGGAACUGCGUUUGAAACUGAGGGGCUAGAGUGUGGAAGAGGGGGGUGGAAUUCCAGGUGUAGCAGUGAAAUGCGUAGAGAUCUGGAGGAACACCGAUGGCGAAGGCAGCCCCCUGGGCUAACACUGACGCUCAUGCACGAAGGCGUGGGGAGCAAACAGGAUUAGAUACCCACGUAGUCCCUGAGCGGGCUGGCAAGGCGCAU